UCUUAGUGGUGGAUUAAACCUAAAGGUGGGUCAAUCAAUGGAGAGCUACUCUCUGGUACUUAGUUUCAGUCAAAGACUCACAAAGGCUUCCACUUUCAAGAAACCCUCUUUUCCUACCGCAAAAUCCAUUACCACCGCCGUUACUCACCACCGCCGGCGACGGCGAAGGAAUAGUCACCGGAGGUAUCUCAAACGACUCGAGAGCCGGAGGCGGGUGAUUCC
Molecule: long non-coding RNA, 222 nt
Filed under: Linum usitatissimum (flax)
Lineage: Eukaryota; Viridiplantae; Streptophyta; Magnoliopsida; Malpighiales; Linaceae
Description: long non-coding RNA (LUSI_LNC000249)
Source: RNAcentral